GCAUCUUUUUAUUUUUAAAAGACCUAGCAAUAGGUAUGCUUAGGGAAGAGCUUGCGUCACAUUAGUUAGUUGGUGGGGUAAUGGCCUACCAAGACGAUGAUGUGUAGCCGGGCUGAGAGGUCGAACGGCCACAUUGGGACUGAGACACGGCCCAAACUCCUACGGGAGGCAGCAGUAAGGAAUUUUCGGCAAUGGAGGAAACUCUGACCGAGCAAUGCCGCGUGAACGAUGAAGUAUUUCGGUACGUAAAGUUCUUUUAUUAGGGAAGAAAAGAUGGUGGAAAAACCAUUAUGACGGUACCUAAUGAAUAAGCCCCGGCUAACUAUGUGCCAGCAGCCGCGGUAAUACAUAGGGGGCAAGCGUUAUCCGGAAUUAUUGGGCGUAAAGGGUGCGUAGGCGGUUAAAUAAGUUUAUGGUCUAAGUGCAACGCUCAACGUUGUGAUGCUAUAAAAACUGUUUAGCUAGAGUUGGAUAGAGGCAAGUGGAAUUCCGUGUGUAGUGGUAAAAUGCGUAAAUAUACGGAGGAACACCAGAAGCGAAGGCGGCUUGCUGGGUCUUAACUGACGCUGAGGCACGAAAGCGUGGGGAGCAAACAGGAUUAGAUACCCUGGUAGUCCACGCCCUAAACGAUGAGUACUAAACGUUGGAUAAAACCAGUGUUGAAGUUAACACAUUAAGUACUCCGCCUGAGUAGUACGUACGCAAGUAUGAAACUUAAAGGAAUUGACGGGACUCCGCACAAGCGGUGGAUCAUGUUGUUUAAUUCGAAGGUACCCGAAAAACCUCACCAGGUCUUGACAUGCUUUUGCAAAGCUGUAGAAAUACAGUGGAGGUUAUCAGAAGCACAGGUGGUGCAUGGUUGUCGUCAGCUCGUGUCGUGAGAUGUUGGGUUAAGUCCCGCAACGAGCGCAACCCUUGUUGUUAAUUGCCAUCAUUAAGUUGGGGACUUUAGCAAGACUGCCAAUGAUAAAUUGGAGGAAGGUGGGGACGACGUCAAAUCAUCAUGCCCCUUAUGACCUGGGCUACAAAC
RNAcentral lists this ribosomal RNA (1030 nucleotides) under Candidatus Phytoplasma solani. RNAcentral's name for it is "bacterial SSU rRNA". It matches the Rfam family "Bacterial small subunit ribosomal RNA", at positions 173 to 1221 of the family's 1533-position model. Lineage: Bacteria; Bacillati; Mycoplasmatota; Mollicutes; Acholeplasmatales; Acholeplasmataceae. The record is from RNAcentral.